RNAcentral lists this ribosomal RNA (377 nucleotides) under uncultured bacterium. RNAcentral's name for it is "bacterial SSU rRNA". It matches the Rfam family "Bacterial small subunit ribosomal RNA", at positions 29 to 396 of the family's 1533-position model. The record is from RNAcentral.
AAUGAACGCUGGCGGCGCGCCUAAUACAUGCAAGUCGAGCGAGAAGACGUAGCAAUACGUUUGUAAAGCGGCGAACGGGUGAGGAAUACAUGGGUAACCUACCCUAGAGUGGGGAAUAACUAGCCGAAAGGUUAGCUAAUACCGCGUACGCUCCUUGGACUUCGGUUCAGGGAGGAAAGCGAUGCCGAGGGUAUCGCGCUCUUGGAUGGGCUCAUGUCCUAUCAGCUUGUUGGNGAGGUAACGGCUCACCAAGGCUUCGACGGGUAGCUGGUCUGAGAGGACGAUCAGCCACACUGGCACUGCGACACGGGCCAGACUCCUACGGGAGGCAGCAGUAAGGAAUAUUGCGCAAUGGGCGAAAGCCUGACGCAGCGACG